RNAcentral lists this long non-coding RNA (363 nucleotides) under Phoenix dactylifera (date palm). RNAcentral describes it as "long non-coding RNA (PDAC_LNC017529)". The record is from RNAcentral. Lineage: Eukaryota; Viridiplantae; Streptophyta; Magnoliopsida; Arecales; Arecaceae.
GGCUUACUCCACAAUUAAUGGGGAUCUCCAGCUUACUCCACAAUUAAUGCGCAUGGCUCCUGUCAUCUACGGACUCUCAGCUCUCCACGGCAAGCUAGCCCAGUAAAGUCCAAUCGACUAUGAUAAUCGACUAUGAUAAGUCUCUGAUCUCGGCCUUACCUCCGACACCAAUGCAAUAAUUUGCCUGGUAGCGUGCUAGUUCGGGUCGUACGACGCCCUUAUCGCCGACAUCAGCGCAAUGAUUCGCCUGCUCGUGCGCCGACCUGAACCACAUGCCGAGCCGUACUAUGGCCUCGCCCCGUUACAUCACAGGUAAACCGACCCCCGCUUAUAAAAGGGAGCCUUGGCUUCUCAGGUGGGGGG